CCUACGGGGAGCUGCAGUGAGGAAUAUUGGUCAAUGGGCGCGAGCCUGAACCAGCCAAGUAGCGUGAAGGAUGACUGCCCUACGGGUUGUAAACUUCUUUUAUAAAGGAAUAAAGUGAAGCACGUGUGCCUUUUUGUAUGUACUUUAUGAAUAAGGAUCGGCUAACGCCGUGCCAGCAGCCGCGGUAAUACGGAGGAUCCGAGCGUUAUCCGGAUUUAUUUGGUUUAAAGGGAGCGUAGAUGGGUUGUUAAGUCAGUUGUGAAAGGUUGCGGCUCAACCGUAGAAUUGCAAUUGAUACUGGCAGUCUUGAGUACAGUUGAGGUAGGCGGAAUUCGUGGUGUAGCGGUGAAAUGCUUAGAUAUCACGAAGAACUCCGAUUGCGAAGGCAGCUUACUAAACUGCCACUGACAUUGAUGCUCGAAAGUGUGGGUAUCAAACAGGAUUAGAUACCCGUGUAGUC
This 460-nucleotide ribosomal RNA is filed under the name uncultured bacterium. RNAcentral describes it as "partial 16S ribosomal RNA". It matches the Rfam family "Bacterial small subunit ribosomal RNA", at positions 338 to 795 of the family's 1533-position model. The record is from RNAcentral.